CUAUACAACACCUAGUACAUGCCACUUCCAAUUAAGGAAAGAAAAUCAUCACCAAAAAAUCUUUUUGCUGGAGUCGGGAUCAUUCGGAUGUUGGACCGAGACACUAGACUCCUAUUAACCUGCGCACGGAAACAACCGCAUGCUGAGUAUUCCAUACUCAGUGGUAUUACCAUAAUUCAAAUUAUAAUAGCAAUAAAAAAAUUAUAAUUACCGAACAUGUAACUAUCCAAUUUCUCAAAUAUCAAUUCAUUCUUAAACUUCAUUAAUUAAUAAUAACAAUACAAUUUUUAACUAUUCUUCAAUUUCUAUCACAUAUCACAUGUAAUAAUUUCAAUCACUACAUGAAUAUUAAAUUCAUGCCUUUCAUUUUCAAUCUUCAUUUCAAUUCAUAAUUCAAUUUUCUCGUUUCUUUCAAUAUUUCAAUAAUAUAAUCAAUCAAUUUAUUUUAAAUUUCUCAUUUUAGAUGAUCACCCUAUUAACAGACCCGGACUUUGACGGAUACACGGAUUCCAACCCAAACACACCGGUAUGACACAUUGUGCCUAAAACGGUACAUAGUACCUGAUCAGAAUAUGACACAUAAAGUGCCUAAAACGACACACGAAGUGCCUGAUACAGCAAGCGAGGUGCCUGAAAUACGACACUUAAAGUGCCUGAUCAGUAAAGCCGGCAAGUCCCAUACACUUCUAGAUCCAAUUGCAUGCCAAUUAUAUCCGACUCAGCCCGACUAGUUAAUAGGGUAUUUCAUAUCACUUUUCAAUUUCAAUUUCAACUUAAUUCAAUACACUUUUCCAUUUCAAUCCAGAAGCAAUUCAAUUUCAAUACAUAUUCAUCAUUCAAUUAAAUUUUUAUACAAUUCAACAAAUAUACUUACCUUAUAAUUUACUUACCAUAUACAUAAAUUAAAUUAAACAUAUAAUGAAUAAAUAAAUAAUUUGAAUUAUAGUAAUACAAACCCGAAUUUUGCGAUUACUCCUCGAUAAUUUUCUCCUUUCCUUUUCGUGCCAAUGCUUCAGGUUCUUUGUUGGCUACGAAAAUAAUAGUAAUUUACAUUAUUAUUUACAGCAUUAAUUAAAAUAAAUAAUUAAAUUUCUAAACAAUUCCUACCUUAUUCCCAAUUUAAUCCUAACUAUACUUUCUUACUUUCUUAAUCCAAUUCACUCUCUUUUUCUAUUCAAAUUUUGUCUAAACUCAUAUUUAACUAUAAAAUUUCCAGCAUAUUUUCCUAAUUUUGAAAUUUCUUUAAUUUAGUCCCUACAACAUAAAACUUAUAGCCUAGUUUUCAAUUUAAUCCCUUAAUCGAUUCUAACUUAGAAUUCAUUCAAUUAAAUCCCUAAUUCCAUAAUUUGUCCAACAUGAACCCCAUUUGGAAACAUGUGAACUCUUGAACUAUCAACUUAUUUUCAUCAAAAUCUUGUUUUAAAGCUUCUAAAACAUCUUAAAUAGAAAGGACUUAAAUGACUUACCAAUCAAAGCUUUAAACCUUAAACUCUUAGUUUUUCCUUUUUCCUUUCUUUCCCCUUUUCUUCCUGCUCUGUUUCGAAUGUCUCUGUUUCUUUCUUUUCUUU
This 1568-nucleotide long non-coding RNA is filed under the name Gossypium barbadense (sea-island cotton). Its description in RNAcentral is "long non-coding RNA (GBAR_LNC008859)". The record is from RNAcentral. Lineage: Eukaryota; Viridiplantae; Streptophyta; Magnoliopsida; Malvales; Malvaceae.